Molecule: ribosomal RNA, 205 nt
Filed under: uncultured bacterium
Lineage: Bacteria
Description: partial 16S ribosomal RNA
Rfam family: Bacterial small subunit ribosomal RNA
Source: RNAcentral
GGAUUGUAGUCUGCAACUCGAGUACAUGAAGCUGGAAUCGCUAGUAAUCGCAAAUCAGAAUGUUGCGGUGAAUACGUUCCCGGGCCUUGUACACACCGCCCGUCACACCAUGGAGUUGGAAGCACCCGAAGUCGAUGACCUAACCGCGAGGGAGGAGUCGCCGAAGGUGAAGCCAGUGACUGGGGUNAAGUCGUAACAAGGUAUC